UGAAUACGAGAUGCUACGGCGUCGAAGCAGUCUAUGUCAUACUUCCAAGAAAAGCUCGCACUGUCAUAAACAAAUAAUGCCUGUACCAUAACCGACACAGGUGGGUAGGUAGAGUAUACUAAGGGGCGCGAGAUAACUCUCUCUAAGGAACUCGGCAAAAUGACUCCGUAACUUCGGGAGAAGGAGUGCCUUAUUUAUAAGGUUGCAAUAACAAGAUCCAAGCAACUGUUUAUCAAAAACACAGGUCUCCGCUAAGUCGUAAGACGAUGUAUGGGGGCUGACGCCUGCCCAGUGCCAGAAGGUUAAAGAAGUUGGUUAGCAUUCGCGAAGCUGAUAACUGAAGCCCUGGUGAACGGCGGCCGUAACAAUAACGGUCCUAAGGUAGCGAAAUUCCUUGUCGGGUAAGUUCCGACCCGCACGAAAGGCGUAAUGAUUUGGAUACUGUCUCGGAGAGGGGCUCGGUGAAAUAGACUUGUCUGUGAAGAUGCGGACUACCUGCACCAGGACAGAAAGACCCUAUGAAGCUUUACUGUAACUUGAGAUUGAAAUUGGACUUUACUUGCGCAGUAUAGGUGGGAGGCGUUGAUAAUAUUCUUGCGGGAUUAUUUGAGCCAUCAGUGAGAUACCACUCUUGUAAUGUUAGAUUUCUAACUUUGUAUCAUUAUCUGGUCAAAGGACAGUUUCAGGCGGGCAGUUUGACUGGGGCGGUCGCCUCCUAAACGGUAACGGAGGCGCACAAAGGUUUCCUCUGAACGGGUAGAAAUCGUAUCUAGAGUGUAAAGGCAUAAGGAAGCUUGACUGUGAGACCUACAAGUCGAGCAGGGACGAAAGUCGGUCUUAGUGAUCUGACGGUGCUGAGUGGAAAGGCCGUCACUCAACGGAUAAAAGUUACUCUAAGGAUAACAGGCUGAUCUCCCCCAAGAGUUCACAUCGACGGGGAGGUUUGGCACCUCGAUGUCGGCUCAUCGCAUCCUGGGGCGGUAGUACGUCCCAAGGGUCGGGCUGUUCGCCCAUGAAAGCGGUACGCGAGCUGGGUUCAGAACGUCGUGAGACAGUUCGGUCCAUAUCCGGUGUAGGCGUUAGAAUAUUGAGAGGAGCCUUCUUUAGUACGAGAGGACCGAGAAGGACAUACCUCUGGUGUACCAGUUAUCGUGCCAACGGUAAACGCUGGGUAGCUAUGUAUGGAGUGGAUAACCGCUGAAAGCAUCUAAGUGGGAAGCCCACCUCAAGAUAAG
This 1235-nucleotide ribosomal RNA is filed under the name metagenome. RNAcentral's name for it is "bacterial LSU rRNA". It matches the Rfam family "Bacterial large subunit ribosomal RNA", at positions 1564 to 2808 of the family's 2925-position model. The record is from RNAcentral.